UUCAUAUUCCCUCACACUCUUCCCUCUAACUGUGUUCUCCUUUCUCCUUUGUAGAACAUCAAGAAGAUCUGCAGGGAACAUUUUCCUUGGUGAUGGAGGUCUGGAAAGGUGGCUCUGGAGUCUCCUGCCUCACUUCUGCACAAUGUUUCGGCCACCACUGAAGGCCAGGAAGGACGGGGAGCCAAACCAAGUGGAAUCUUGGUUCUCAACCUCAUCACCUUGCCUCACCACGAAGCACACCAACCUCAACAACAAGUGCCUCGGAACCAUUAGAUUCAGUCCUAGCGCCUCCACACUCAGCACACACUCCAGCACCCCCAGAACAUGUACCACCUCCAAUAACAGGAGUUUCAGUCACAACACCAAACAAGCUAUCAUCAAAUUAAUGCUGGAGUGCAUCAAUGCAUCUUAUAUGUUCCAUAUGAGACGAAACCUUUAAGAAGAAAUGUAGGGACAUUAGUGGACAUCUUGUCUUCAGGAGUGCUCAAGAGCUAUUAAAAACCACCAUAUCGGAAGGCUCUCUUCAGUUUUGGAUAAGGAGAGAAAAGCAGGAGCAUUAUACUUUUGCAAAGAGGAGGGAGUCAAGGUUUCAGAGGAAAUGUCUCUUCGUUUCUGCACUUUACCACCAACACCACCCCGAAGACCAGAGGCCAUGAAGAGUGAGGCUCCAUCAAAGCAUACGAAAUCUGGAUAAGGCGCUAAAGGCAGAAGCAUCAGACUUCUGGAAAAAGAAAGGGGUCAGGGUUUCAGAGAAAAUGUCUCAUCUCUUUCAUAGCAUUCCUGGAGUGUACCAGCACCACACCAAGCCCAGAGACCAUGAUGAGUGGGGGACCCAUUUUAGCAGUCUUUCAAAACCUGGAGAGCUGCGUGACUCCCACUGACGAUGGAGCUGGACCAACUUGCCACACAUGCCUAUCAUGAUCCAACUCAGGAAGUGGGGAAUUUUGGAAGGAAGGCCUGAAGGAGGAGGAUGGGAGUUGUAUUCCAUCCACACCCGGAGAGCUGUGUGACUGACUUCAACUAAUGAUGGAUCUGGAUCAAAAAUCUCAAACAGUUCUGGUCCCCAGCACUUCAGAUAUUAAACAUGUAUUCCUAUAA
This is a long non-coding RNA of Anolis carolinensis (green anole), 1098 nucleotides long. RefSeq lists it as uncharacterized. The transcript is spliced from 4 exons. Lineage: Eukaryota; Metazoa; Chordata; Lepidosauria; Squamata; Anolidae. The record is from RefSeq and is a predicted model, not a curated record.